AACGUAGGGGGCAAGCGUUGCCCGGAUUCACUGGGCGUAAAGCGCGUGUAGGCGGUCCGUUAAGUCGGAUGUGAAAUCUCUGGGCUCAACCCAGAAAUCGCAUCCGAUACUGGCGGACUUGAGGAUGGUAGAGGUUGGUGGAAUUCCCGGUGUACCGGUGAAAUGCGCAGAUAUCAGGAGGAACACCAAUUGCGAAGGCAGCUCGCUGGGACGUUACUGACGCUGAGACGCGAAAGCGUGGGGAGCAAACAGG
This 253-nucleotide ribosomal RNA is filed under the name uncultured bacterium. RNAcentral describes it as "partial 16S ribosomal RNA". It matches the Rfam family "Bacterial small subunit ribosomal RNA", at positions 524 to 776 of the family's 1533-position model. The record is from RNAcentral.